Molecule: ribosomal RNA, 506 nt
Filed under: uncultured bacterium
Lineage: Bacteria
Description: partial 16S ribosomal RNA
Rfam family: Bacterial small subunit ribosomal RNA
Source: RNAcentral
AGUGAACGCUGGCGGUAGGCCUAACACAUGCAAGUCGAACGGCAGCACAGGAGAGCUUGCUCUCUGGGUGGCGAGUGGCGGACGGGUGAGGAAUACAUCGGAAUCUACUCUGUCGUGGGGGAUAACGUAGGGAAACUUACGCUAAUACCGCAUACGACCUACGGGUGAAAGCAGGGGACCUUCGGGCCUUGCGCGAUUGAAUGAGCCGAUGUCGGAUUAGCUAGUUGGCGGGGUAAAGGCCCACCAAGGCGACGAUCCGUAGCUGGUCUGAGAGCAUUGUCAGCCACACUGGAACUAAGUCACGGGCCAGACUCCUACGGGAGGCAGCAGUGGGGAAUAUUAGACAAUGGGCGCAAGCCUGAACCAGCCAUACCGCGUGGGUGAAGAAGGCCUUCGGGUUGUAAAGCCCUUUUGUUGGGAAAGAAAUCCAGCUGGCUAAUACCCGGUUGGGAUGACGGUACCCAAAGAAUAAGCACCGGCUAACUUCGUGCCAGCAGCCGCAGUAA